Molecule: long non-coding RNA, 3894 nt
Filed under: Strigops habroptila (Kakapo)
Lineage: Eukaryota; Metazoa; Chordata; Aves; Psittaciformes; Psittacidae
Description: lncRNA (ENSSHBG00005002938.1)
Source: RNAcentral
UUGUUUUAUCAUUCAUUUAUUUAGCAAAGAAAGGAAUGGAUUCAAAUACCCCACACAAUGAACACGUAUCUAUUCCCUGAUAUUAAGAUGCAGAUCUGCUUGUGAACAAUUUUAAAUGAAUCUGUUUUCUUACUAUUGAAGUCAUCUUGUACUGUGCAUGGAUUUGUGCAGAAGCAAUAUAUUUUGGGCUCAAUCCUGUAAAAACAUUAAAAUAAGUAAUUUGUUACACCCAUACCACUGAACUUGGUGUGGUUACUUACGUGACGAGUAAAAUCAUACUCAAGAGCCUAGCUUUUGCCAAUCUAAAUUUAGGCAUCCAAAUGACUGAGUAUUAGAAGUGUGUCUCUCUAGGCUCACUAUAGUUUUGAGCAAAAGGCACAAGCCCUCACUAGAAUGUAACUCUGCCCAUCUAAGCAUAUUCUCCCAUAUGAGACAUAGAGGGUGCUGGUGGCAGCUACAAUCAGAAGUUGGUCAGAUGCCUCAAGCAGAGCAAGAUAAGCUUGGACCAAACUGUUUACAGAAUUGAUCUCAUACAGCGAAGCCAUUAUGCAUACAAUUAACUUUAGGAAUGUGCUUAUGUUGCGCUGAUUUUAAUAAAACUGGUCCCACAUUUAAAGAAGUGACUAUAUUUGUUCUACAAUUCUGAGGGAAAAAAUAUUGAAACGUUUAUGCCUAUUAACAUUUUUGUUGCAUCUGGGACCUCUUACUCUCUUUUCCGGUUUCAACAGCCAUAUGGUCUGAUGCUUUGAGAACUUUCUUCACUUAACAUAAGUGCUUUGGUAGCUCUUGAUUUGUACACUGACAUGGUAUUUUUCCAGAGGUUACUGUGGAGCUCUGGUCAAGCUAACUAAACCCACAGUAUCCUAUAUCCAUCUGAGACUUUAAUCAGUACUGCUUAAUAGCCUGGAAAUCAGAGCCAUUUAAGCCCCAUUCUUUCUCCCACUCUCGCAAGAAAAUCCUAAUCCUAGUCAAAAAUCUCUUGAUUAGCUUUAGCCAAAUGACACUGCUCCAACAGCAGGUGACUGCAAAUGGCUGGAAAAGCUUCCAUGUAAAGUAACUUUAAAUGACCAUAAAGGUCAUUAGACUUAAAUCAAAGUACAAGAUAAAACUGCAAGCACAGGAGUCCAUUUUCUAAGAAACCAAGGAAUGUAUGCUGUGUAUCAAUCAGACACAAAAAGAGGCCCAAAAUGUGUACUCAAACACAAUUCUACUUUGGCUUGUCCAGUGAAAGUAUAUAGUGUAAAGGAUCUGACUGGCUAUCCUGCUUCCUUCUCACUCCAUGUAGCAGGGUUACAAAGAAACAGAUUCACACAGAGAAUCUUGACCUAUCUGUCAAAAUGUUUGCAUUCAAAACAGAGGAACAUUUUAAAAUUUAUGCAAGCAGUACAAAAGUGGUUUAGUAAUAUUAACUAUUGGCAUCAGAGGUAAUACAAUUAUUUAUCCAAAAAAGAUAACUUUAUCUAAGCAAAAAGAUAAGGGGUAUUUAAGCAUGGCAUUUAAUGGGCAAGUGAGUUGAUUUUCCCUUUCCAAAAAGAGAACAAUACUGUAAGAACCAAAUUUUUCCUUUGUGCACAUUUGAGAGCUCUUUCAGCUUAAACAAGAUUUGCAGGAAAAUGCUUACUCAUUACAUUUUUGGCAAAAGAAAUGUAAGAGCUUUCAUGGGGAAAACUGCUUUUCACCAAAAUGUGUGUGCCUAUUAAAAAAAAAAAAAAGCUAAAUAAAGUAAAUUGAAAAUUAAGAGAUUGCAAUUUGCUUUGCACCAUGUCUUAGGAAAGGCUGUAUUAAACUACCUGGGCAGCUGUGCAGAGCUCGGGAGGUGAAAAUACUGACAUAGGCAGUGCAUCUGCGGUCCUGUGAUUUAGAGGAAUGUAAUUUAGGAAGCUAAAUUACAAAAAAAAGUUUAAAAGAAACACUUUUCUGACAAUUUGGUGUGGUGUUUAAGUGGCAUCACAUGGGAGUUGCUCAAAGGUCUGGAAUGCCUGAAAUACUCCUUGGGGAGAUGAUGGAAGUAUGAGCAGACUGAGCACCUGCUAAAUGCACUUCUACCUAUGAUCAUGCAGACUUAAUCUAGGGUAUUAUUACCGCAUAUAUAACACAAAUCUAACAUAUGUAUCUAUCCAUGGAAAGAAUGGAAAAUAGAUCACUGUAAAGACAGGCGUGCUUCAAACUACUGAAGAGUUAAAAAAAAAAAAAAAGCUUAUUUCAGAUAAUUUUCAUUAAAAAAGGUUAAAAUAAAAAUACAUAGUUCAAAUAUUUUUAAGGUAUUGGUCUCAUAACUAAUAGUCUAAAUAUAAAAUCCAUAAGCCAGACUAAUGUGCUCUUCGUACAGGGCAGAGAGGAACAGUGGUGUGCAUAUUUGUGUAUGUGCGUGUGCUGCUUUUUCUUGGCAGUUGCAGCAAUAUAGAUAUUAUUUUCUUUAUUUUACUAAAUGUAAAAUUUUAUCUUUUGGCAUGAACAGAGUGAUUCAGAUACUGGACUGGUUACGAUUCGGACAGCUUUUUCUCCUUCUAUCUGUUUCACUGAAUUUUCUUGCAGAGAAAAUUUCCUCUUACCAAGGGCAAUCAGCUAAUUUCUUCCUGGAAAACCAAAUCUAAUAUACAGUAAAAAAAAAAUCACAAAUUAUACAGAACUAGUAUUAUUAUACUUUCUGGAGAUGAACUGGUGUGAGGGUGGGGUGCUUUCUUUUGACUGAGGGGGAGAAUUAUUCAGCUGGAAAAAAUGGGCAGCUGAUCUUAAUUAUUUUCAUAGAUGCUAAAUGUGCAUUCAUUUUGCUGCAUGGCUUUUCAAAGACUACGUGCUUUGCAUUUUUUCAUUUUACUGCAGAACAGAGAUAGCAAGCAUAGUGCUACAUUCAGCUCUAUCCCCAUUCAAACGUUGCUCACUGCUAUCAUUAGAGAUGGUGUUUACCCUUGCUAUGUGAGUGGCUGGACUACCAAGAUGGCGCUCAAAUGGAGUCUCACAUGAUCAAUAUUUCUUGGUACUUUUUGCCUUUUUUUUUUGUUGUGAAUCCUUAUAAUCUGUACAUGUUUUUCUCUAUUUGCCUAUCAUAGUGUAACCUAAUGAUCAAGGACUCUAAACACAGAAUGGAAACAUUUCCACUCUGUUUCUCCUCGCAUACCUUCGUGGUAUUCCAGUGCGAUGAUCUCUGCAUCUAGCAUGCUCAAAAAACUGAAAGCCUAAUUCUUUACUCCUUUAUAUUAAUUUUUAAUUUCUUUUCACAAGCUUCUGAGAAUAGCAAAUACUGUCUUACUACUAAGUACUCUGGAAAAUCUGGCCCAAAUCCCUGCCCUUUUCUUUUUAGUUAUACACCUGGAAUUUCAGAUACAAAAAUAACAAUGUCAUGAAUGUGGGUGAAGACAGAGAGAACAAAGAAAAAUGGUAUAAAAAUUCUUUCUGUUUCCUCUCCUGCCACUAAAAAAGGAAUUAAAACUGAUAACUUAAAACUCAAACAGUAUUUUAAAUAUUUACAUCAAUGAAGUCCAACAACAUAAUCACUUAAAACACCAUAAGAAUGUUCCUCUAGGGGCUGACUAGCGUGGGUUGGACAUGGCAGCAAGAUGAGAUGCUUUGCAAAUAAUCUGUGUUUUCUGAGCCAGCUUUGCUUGUCAGACGUGCAUAUAAAGUGAAAGCAGAAAGAGAAAAGCAGAUCUAUGAUUAUGCCUAGUACCCCCAAGAGCCUGAGACAGCACACAACAUGGUGCAGUUGUAUCUUUCCAUGACCAGCCUGAUGGCGAGUGCACACCAGAGUGAGGAAUGGGUUCCCAUUCGUACACACCAAGGAAAGGAAGCCUGGGGGAUGCCAUGACUUCUGCAAACCUGCAUGCUGCAGCAAGGCUGUUUACUAGCGACACACAGAAAAAUAUUCCAGUGUGCCUUUCGUAUCUGCCCUCCUCC